RNAcentral lists this ribosomal RNA (306 nucleotides) under uncultured Planctomycetota bacterium. Its description in RNAcentral is "bacterial SSU rRNA". It matches the Rfam family "Bacterial small subunit ribosomal RNA", at positions 29 to 351 of the family's 1533-position model. Lineage: Bacteria; Pseudomonadati; Planctomycetota. The record is from RNAcentral.
AAUGAACGUUGGCGGCGUGGAUUAGGCAUGCAAGUCGAGCGAGAACCGUAGCAAUACGGGGACAGCGGCGAAAGGGAGAGUAACACGUAGGUACCUGCCCUCGGACCUGGGAUAGCCAAGGGAAACCUUGGGUAAUACCAGAUAAUGUCUCCGGACCAAAGGUGUGAUUCCGUCCGGGGAGGGGCCUGCGUCCUAUUAGCUUGUUGGUAGGGUGACGGCCUACCAAGGCGAUGAUGGGUACGGGGUGUGAGAGCAUGCCCCCGCUCACUGGGACUGAGACACUGCCCAGACACCUACGGGUGGCUG